Molecule: ribosomal RNA, 114 nt
Filed under: Camelus bactrianus (Bactrian camel)
Lineage: Eukaryota; Metazoa; Chordata; Mammalia; Artiodactyla; Camelidae
Also listed under: 2 other names
Source: RNAcentral
GUCUAUGGCCAUACCACCCUGAACGUGCCCGAUCUCAUCUGAUCUCGGAAGCUUAGCAGGGUCGGGCCUGGUUAGUACUUGGAUGGGAGACUGUAUAAUCUGGCCUAAUAAGAA